Molecule: long non-coding RNA, 6834 nt
Organism: Corvus hawaiiensis (hawaiian crow)
Lineage: Eukaryota; Metazoa; Chordata; Aves; Passeriformes; Corvidae
Exons: 3
Source: RefSeq, a predicted model, not a curated record
AACAGCAUUUUAAAAAAUACAUUGAAAGCAAAUUUAAUAUAUAAAAGGAUCUUUCUGAAAGAAAAUUAGGAUUAUUUCCAUUUGCAAUGAUGCCAGCUUAUGCAGCUUUCUAGUAUGAUAUCUCCACCUUUCAUUUUAUUCCCUAACAUGCUGAAAAUAUCCCCAGACUUUUAGAAUUAGUUACAAAGGCACAUUUGGCAGACUCACCACCUUAGAUAGCAUAAAUUUUAAUCUGAUUCUGUAACCAAGAGAAUCUUUUAAUAAAGAGAUUAAAAUAUUUAAUUUUUAUUCUUUGUGCUCAAGAGGACAAUGUUUGACCCUGAUGACUAACUGAAAGCUAAAUUUUACAGCAUUAUACUGGAUACUAAUUAAAUGAGUUGGGACACUUUUCCAGCAAUGCAAUAGUUAACAAAAAAAUCCUCCGUAUUAAAAAAACCAAAAAAAUGGAAGGACUAAAGGAAAUGGACAAUGAAAAACACCCAAAAGUGCCUACGUAAAAUCAUCAGAAAUUAAGUGGGAGAUCAUAACAGAAUUAGAUUAAAAAUAAAGAGGAUUAUAAUUUAAUUAAAUUGGUUUGUGGCAGAGUUACAGAUCAUUAGAUUUUUUUUUUGUUUCUUUGUUUUUGUAAUAUCCUAUUUUGAGAUAAGAGAGUUUUUCAGCAGGAACCGGAGUUGUUUACAAAGAUGAUGCAAAAUUGUGUCUUUGCAGUCAACAACAGUUACUUGAUUUGCAGCAGCCUUAACUAACAUCCUCAGUCCUGAACUCUAUUCCUCUAAUAAACACACCUUGAUGUAAAUUGACAAUAUCCUCCCAAAUAAAGCCCAAUUUUUGCACCAUGAGACUGUGUAAAUGAAUUAUACUGCUUUAAUGACAUCCAUACUAAGAUCUAAAUCUGAUGCUUACCCAGAGUAAAAAUAUUUUACAGUCUGUGCUAGAAUAUCUAAUAACACUUCCCUGUGUGUGUAUGCAAAUUUCAUUUGUUUUUCUGACAGAGAACAAUAUCUGGCUUGGGAAAAAAAAAAAAACAAAACCAAAACCAAAACCUUGAUAGUUCUUCCAUUGCUCUUUUCUUUCUUUAACCAGCCCUGCAUUUCUUGCAUCAUGCUUAUAAUGAUGUGGUGAAACUCCUUGCUUCUAAGAUUACAUUUGCUCCUACUUAAUUAUUCCAGGAAAAGUAUCCAUGGAUGGAAUAAGCCAUGCUAAAACAGUACUGUCAUACUCCCCUUGAAGCUCUGACUGUACCAGAAAGGAAUAUUCGUUUCCAUCAGACCAACUGAUGGAACAUCCAGCUGAUCUCAUGAGAUAGCUACGCAAUUGCUAGAGCUGACACAGGACUGUGUGUGAACUCAUACUUGAAAGGGAGAGGAGAGUAAAGAGAAGGAUGGGCAUGAGGAAGAAAAGGACUGGGAGAAAGGAGUGAGCAAGAGUGACCAAGGCUUUAAAGUAGCAAUUCACUAAUAUACUGGCUUAUGACAAUCGUGUAAAAGCUGAACAAGUUUCAAGGCUUCUAAGCAUUACAUUUAGGAAAGGGUGUUGGGUUUUCUGCCUUUUGCUCUCUGGAUAGUAGGAAAAGACUUUGGCAACACAGUGUGCUGAUGAAUUCAGUGCUUGAUAAACUUUAUAAAUUUAAUUUUUAAAUUACCUGAUAUUUUUUGUCACUAAACACAAGCUAUUGCACACCAUUAAUCACCAAGUUACAUCAUUUUGUUUUUUCAAGGAAAGGUAGCGAACAAGAUGCCCACAUGCUUACAAAAUUCUUUUACAGUGAACUAAAGCACCCACUUACUUGAAUCACAAGCAGAUCUGUACAUUUUCUAUUCUAGUUCUAUUAUCAGUUUUAAUUGCCACAUCACCAAUAUUGAGUAUUGCGUAACUCUUUUAUUUAAAAUUUUGAAGGCAUGUUGUUUCACAGGGCUAGUAUGAAAAAUAUAUUUUUGAAAUUCUUAAAACAGCACAUUUAAAUCCUUCCAAAUUAAUCUAAAUCACUUUUUUAAAAAAGAAAGAAAAAAUGUCCUUAAAUAAAGAAAACAUGUUCUUUUUUUGUCACACACAUACUUGUACCCUUUAAAAAUAUGAAAAAUAUUCCUUUCAUUUACAUCCUUAUUCAAACUGUAGGCACUAAAAAUUCAAAUGAACCCUAAUUAGAGUUAUUAUCAUAGAGCUUCAGUAGAACAGUUCUCAUCUAUGUUAAAGAAGUUUCUAGUUCAAAGGAAAACUCUUUGCAGUGAAAGUCAUGCAUAAUUUUUUUUCUCUUGUCAGAAAUCAAUCAUGGUUUUGUCAUCAUUAAGGAGAAGAGUUGGCCUUUUUUAAGAUAAAGGAUGAAAGUACCUGGUCAUUAAAUACCCCUACUUAAUUAAAAUACCCCUACUGAUAGGCUCCUAUUUAAAUUUAUAAAAAAAUUCUUCACCAUUCUCCAAUUGAUAUCAAUGGGCAACAGACAAAAAAUAACACAUAUAAAGAAAAUUAAACAGUGCAAAAGUAUAGAUAUAAAUUUCCACACAUAUCAAGAUUUGGUGUGAUAUACAUGACAGAGAAGGCAAGGUGAUAAUGUAAGUGAAAUUCAUCACUGUAUAAAAACCCCACAGAAAUAAACUUCCAACCUAUUGUUGACAAUGGAAAUUCUAUAAUUCAUGUAUUAAGCUCAAGAGGCCAUGCACACAAGUUUGCCUAAAAAUACUGAUUUCCUAAAAUCCAAAUACUUAGUGUGUCACUAUGUGCUUUUGGAGCUCAUAAAAUCGUAAGAUAAUCCAGGCUGAUCAGGUAAACUUUGGGAAGUCUCCAAUCUAACCUCCUGCCCACAAGAAAGAGCCUGGCUCUGUCCUCCUAAUCACCUUUUCUUUUAUAUACAUAGACAAAAAGACAAAAGUGACCGUGAGGGCCUGUGUUGUUCUUGCUCAACUUUACAAGGUCUCUGUGGGCCUGUGUCUCCAGCCUGCCCAGGACAUUCUCUACAGCAGCCCUGCCUCCAGGCUUGUCAGCUGCUGUCCCUUGUUUGUUGUCAUACUUAGACUUGGGAAAUGUACCAGGGUACCUUCUGCUUCCUCCUACAGGUCACUGAUAGAGAUAAGAAACAGGCCAACUCCAAGGAGACACUCCAGAGGUGCUCCAGUUGUUACUGACCUCCAAGCAAAGCACCAGUCACCAACCACAGUCCAAACGUGUUUUCAUUCAUUCUCUAUUACUCCCUGAGAGAACAAAGACUGUUACCUCCCAACACAGACUGCUGUGGGAGACCAUGUCCAAAGCUUUUUUAAAGUCAAGAGGAAAAAACUUUUAAGAUCUAAUUCUUACCCAUAGGCUUUUUUCCUCUCAUCUCACAUCAGAGCAAUGAAACAUUAGACAGAACCUAUUAGCUGUUGCUGUACACAGCUAGAAAAUAAUAGAGAAAGCUCUUUCAACAGAAUAUUUUUUCUGAAAUAUUAGCACAAUACGUUGGUUUUUAACUAGCUAAAGCAGAUACCACCUUCUUUUCUUUCUUUGUUUUUCUUAACUUAGGCAGCUUGCACUGAAGCCACCAUCCACAUAAGCCUUUCCAAACUUUCUGAAAGGAAAAGGCAUUUUUUCAGGUGAUGUUAUUAGUGGCAGUAUGAAAGCCUGAUAAAAUUAAAUGAUUCACUGAAGUGUAUUGAAAAAAACUUAUCUCUCUAGGCUUCAUUUCCUUUAGACAAACAGGAAUCCACUGAGAAAAAUUUGGUUUGGAUAUAGCACCAAAGAAUUUUAUUAAUGUGUUACUUAAUCAUAUUUAUCCCACAAAUUCUAUUUCUUGCCUCUUUCAUUAUCUUAAUUAGUCAAAUGGAAACAAAACAGAACAAAAUGCAGCAUGAGAUAAAGACUUCCAUGAAACCAAAGAAUCUUGAGCUAUAAAGACAAUUUUUGCCCACUGAAAAACAAACUGACUUCCUUUUUUGUCAAUUAGAUGAUCAUGUAAUUCCAGCUGUAAUUUAUGUCCAGGACUCCAGUAAGCAAAUUACCUAUUCCAAUCCGUAAUUCAAGGUCUGAAACAUCUGGCUGUGGGGUACUUGGGGCCAGUGAAUUUAGUCUUAGAUUUGACUUAGAUACAGAAAAUUAGAUUACUAUCCAAAUACUCUUGGUAUCUUGCUCUGGAAAAUAAUUCUGCUUCCCUUAUUCAUAAAUAGUCAAUGAAAGAAAAGAGCACACAGAACAUACUCAGCAAGUAUGUAGAGCUGGUUGGAUAUAAGCAGGCAAUUCCUGUUCAUGUUUUAUGAAGCAGUCAUCGUAUCCUGCUUUUUCAUACGUCAGGCGAAGGCAUCAACAAGAGAUGGAUGGAAAAAUGCACCGCAGGUUCAUACAGAACAUGGGAAUGGACAAAGAUGUGCUCUGUGUACAGAGCAGGAAGACUUCACAGCAAGCUGGGAGGUGUCUGUUCUUUCCACCUGUUUUGUCUACUCUUUGAACAGGACAAAAAGGGAGGCUAAAUUCAGUUGAGAGGAGACAAAAGUCUAGCUAAAGGAAGUGAUGUUUUAUCUUUGACUUCUGAGGAAUGGGGAGUACAUCAUUAUCUGUCUUCUACAAUCUCUAAAACUUUAUAAAAUUUCUGGUUCUCUGUUUCUUGGUGUCUGUUUCUUUGGGUUUUUGGUAUUUUUUUGGAUUGGUUGGUUGGGUUUUUUGAGGUGUUCUUUCUUGAGGGGUGUAUUUUGUUUUGUUUUCUUUAACUAAAUUUGUGAUCUAAUCUUAUCCAAGUCUCUCUCGUUACCUUAGCAAGAUAAACACUUUUCUAAUUUCAAAUACUUUCUUGAACUGCACACAAAAAUUAAUUGUAGUUUCUUUAGAUAGCAGUGAUUAAAUUGUCAGGCAACAGUUUCAGUGCGGCAGUUUUUCUGACAUUCUUCAAAAGGUGGAAUUAAAUCAAGCAUUAUCAGGCUAAGAGAUCUUUUUAUCUUCUCACUCAGUGUUACCUUUCAGUCUGUAGCCUACAAUAUGGAUGCUGAGUAGUCUUCCAUAGCGCUUUUGCACCCAUGAAUCUUGUAGCCUACAAUGCAACUACUGUUUUAGGCAUGAAAGUAUAAAGUUUCUUUGUUUUGAAAAUGAAGCACAAAUUUGUAAAGUUUACAGUUUUCAGUGAUUGUGGUCAAAGACACCAGGCACAGCCUGAUUUCAGAAACAUUUUAUAAAUACGGAGUAAUUCUACAAAUAUAAUUCUAGACUUACCCCAUGGCAAAAAGGAAAACAUAAGCCAUUGACCUGUAUUCCCAUAAUCAAUAUAUCACUGACAACAUUUCCAAUUAAUUAUAUGUAUAUAUAUACCCAAACUGGUUGCAAAGAAUUUUAGGUUCAUGUCUAGUCUGACUAGAUGCACUGAACAAACCAAAUCUUGAGGUCCAAAGGAAGAGCUGUUUAGACAUCGCUAACCCAUUGCUAUAAAAGCUUGAAGUAAAUGAGAAUUUAUAUGUAAGAUCAUUUUACUAAUAAAUAAACAAUCUGCAAGGGUAUGUGGGAGAAUAAUAUCUGCUCUUUUAAGGGUAUCUGGACAAAGGAGCCAUAAACUAGAAUUUACAGAGGCAAACCUGAGUGACAAUUGAUAAGGAAAGUCAUGAUAAGAAUAAACCCAGCCAAUCACCCUAAUUGGUGUGGAGGUGAGGUUUUGUUUUUCUUCCGUAUGAUUGUCUGAGUAAUGACCUUGCAAAAUUGGGAUGAUAAGGGAGAGAGACAAACAGAUAUAAAACCUGAACAAUUACCCUUAAUGGAGACAAUAAGCAGAAAUGUACCUGUUAAUUCACACUAAUUGAUGGGCUACCAAGAAACUGCAGGCCAUCUGAGUCUUUGCAAAUGGUAAGGAGACAAAGAGGAUACUGCAGGUGGGGAGGGCAGAGGAACUAUGCCAACUGAUGAAUCAAUGUGCAAGUGAAGGUAAUCUGGGAGGGGGAGUAGACAGAAAAGGGUAUAAAAGGGGCCAGCUUCAUGUAGAAUGAGACAAGUCAGUACACUUGUCUGCGCCUGAUCACCAGUCUAUCCAAUAAUCUCAUCAAUUCUUUUCUCAGUUCUCUCACUGCAUGAUCUCAGUCUCUAUCCCAUGUGUAUGUGUGCCCUGCAUGCACAGCUGGUGGACCCUGAUCAGACUGAGUGUCAGGUACUGGAGCCAGACUGGGGUACAGGCACCCCUGGCCCGUGGCGUCAGCUACUGCAGCAAGUGGGGUCUUAGCAACAGCUACUGAAAUGAACUGGGAUCUCUAACUUCCAGCUGCAGGGACUGGAAUGGAGUGUGUGUUCCCAAAUCCUGCUUCUGGGAGGACUGGUGUGAGUGAGGGUUUCUGCACGGGCAGCUGGAGCAGGACCAUGGGGCACAGCCUAUGUGCCGGCUGCCAGCCGCUGGGGGCUGAGAAGUGUUUGUCUCUUACUCAAACCAGAACCCAAGUUCCAUCAACAGAGAUAUGCAAGACAUCAUUGACUUGCUGCAGGCACUUUGUUUAUGGAAUUUUCCUAGCACCACACAGCAAAUUCACAGCCACAGAACCCAAGUGCUGCUCAACUGUCAUGGACAAAAGUUUCUUAAAUUCCCAAGCACGGAGGAAGCACCCUUUUCCUGCUUUUCAGCCAGCUUUCAGCUCUGUUUAUCUGGAGAGAGAUGGAGCAUUAAAUAUUUUUUUCUCCCUGAGACUUUGGCUUCUUCUCUUCUGGACUGUUCAACAAUACCAGAACAUACUGGGAGACCCUACACCACUGGCCUGGAGCAGGGCCUAUGCCGACCCAGCUCCGAAGAGGAGAGAGAGAGACUACGUCCAAAGAAAGGCCUCUAAAAUCUUAUCAGGUUUCUCUCCCCAGUGAGAGGUUUUAUUAUUUAGCAUUAUUAUUCUUUUCCCAUUGUGCAUUGUGUCU